Molecule: ribosomal RNA, 282 nt
Filed under: uncultured prokaryote
Description: partial 16S ribosomal RNA
Rfam family: Bacterial small subunit ribosomal RNA
Source: RNAcentral
UACGUAGGGGCAAGCGUUAUCCGGAUUUACUGGGUGUAAAGGGAGCGUAGACGGUAUGGUAAGUCAGAUGUGAAAGCCCGGGGCUCAACCCCGGGACUGCAUUUGAAACUAUCAAACUGGAGUGCAGGAGAGGUAAGUGGAAUUCCUAGUGUAGCGGUGAAAUGCGUAGAUAUUAGGAGGAACACCAGUGGCGAAGGCGGCUUACUGGACUGUAACUGACGUUGAGGCUCGAAAGCGUGGGGAGCAAACAGGAUUAGAUACCCCGGUAGUCCUGAGCGGGCU